Molecule: ribosomal RNA, 492 nt
Filed under: uncultured bacterium
Lineage: Bacteria
Description: partial 16S ribosomal RNA
Rfam family: Bacterial small subunit ribosomal RNA
Source: RNAcentral
AGUGAACGCUGGCGGUAGGCCUAACACAUGCAAGUCGAACGGCAGCACAGUAAGAGCUUGCUCUUACGGGUGGCGAGUGGCGGGCGGGUGAGGAAUACAUCGGAAUCUACUUUUUCGUGGGGGAUAACGUAGGGAAACUUACGCUAAUACCGCAUACGACCUACGGGUGAAAGCAGGGGAUCUUCGGACCUUGCGCGAUUGAAUGAGCCGAUGUCGGAUUAGCUAGUUGGCGGGGUAAAGGCCCACCAAGGCGACGAUCCGUAGCUGGUCUGAGAGGAUGAUCAGCCACACUGGAACUGAGACACGGUCCAGACUCCUACGGGAGGCAGCAGUGGGGAAUAUUGGACAAUGGGCGCAAGCCUGAUCCAGCCAUACCGCGUGGGUGAAGAAGGCCUUCGGGUUGUAAAGCCCUUUUGUUGGGAAGGAAAAGCAGCAGGUUAAUACCCCGCUGUUCUGACGGUACCCAAAGAAUAAGCACCGGCUAACUUCGUG